AUGCCACUUCUCCAACCUUUUCAGUCUAUAUCGAAUCAUUAUUUAUUGUUAAUUUCUAUUUGCACGAUUUGUUUAAAAAAUUAAUUGAAAUAUUAUUGCAGGUACUUCAAAUAAAAAUAUCCUACCUGUUCGGCAACCAAUUCGCCUAUAUAACAAAAUAUGAAAAUAUUGAAAGUAAUCGAUGCGAUUAUUGCUAUAGUUUUUUUAUUGCAUGCGUACCACAAUUAGAUAAUAUCCGAGAAGACACAUAUUCGCAGUACAGCCUAAAAAUUCUACAAAAGAUAUUUGUUGAAGCGCUCUUUCUAUGAUGCUCAACGAUAAAACCAAGCUUCUUGUGGAGCGUUUGCUCAUCCUGUUUCUUCUCAUUGUUAUCCUUCACCAACUUAUCCGACCUGAUCAUGACCACGUUGAACUGGCCACACGCGUGCAUUGCUAAUACGGCGGCCAGUCCGCAAGCACCAACUGUGACCGAGGUUGAGAUGAAUCCGGAGAGGAGCUGAAGAGCGAAUACGAUCUCGUUCAUGGGACUGAACCUAACAUCUAACAGAUACUUCCAUAAGAAUAUCCUACCUGUUCGGCAACCAGAUCGCCUAUAUAACAAAAUAUGAAGAUAUUGAAAGUGAUAGAUAUGAUUAAAGCUACCCUUACUCAUAUCCGAUCGGCCAUCCACUAAGUGAUCCAACCAGUUCAUCAACACCUGCAUUUGUCCACAUGCGUGCACCGCGAAUACAGCGGCUAUACUACAAGCUGCCGAUGUUAUAGCGUGCAUCACAACACCUGUCAGAAUUUGAACGGACAAUACGAUUUCAUUGUAAGGGCUGUAACGUAUAUCAGCGAUCAAACUCGACGAAGGAAAUGUCCCAUUCGAUGCAUUCGAUACCUUCACGUAUAUCAUUUUCAUGGAGCAAUAGCAG
Long non-coding RNA from Apis mellifera (honey bee), 914 nucleotides. RefSeq lists it as uncharacterized. The transcript is spliced from 6 exons. NCBI's taxonomy places the organism in Eukaryota, Metazoa, Arthropoda, Insecta, Hymenoptera, Apidae. The record is from RefSeq and is a predicted model, not a curated record.